GUGUCAGCCGCCGCGGUAAUACGGAGGAUGCAAGCGUUAUCCGGAAUGAUUGGGCGUAAAGCGUCCGCAGGUGGCUGUGUAAGUCUGCUGUUAAAGCGUCUAGCUCAACUAGAUACAAGCAGUGGAAACUACACAGCUAGAGUGCGUUCGGGGCAGAGGGAAUUCCUGGUGUAGCGGUGAAAUGCGUAGAUAUCAGGAAGAACACCGGUGGCGAAAGCGCUCUGCUAGGCCGCAACUGACACUGAGGGACGAAAGCUAGGGGAGCGAAUGGGAUUAGAUACCCCAGUAGUCCUAGCCGUAAACGAUGGAUACUAGGCGUGGCUUGUAUCGACCCGAGCCGUGCCGUAGCUAACGCGUUAAGUAUCCCGCCUGGGGAGUACGCACGCAAGUGUGAAACUCAAAGGAAUUGACGGGG
Molecule: ribosomal RNA, 415 nt
Filed under: uncultured prokaryote
Description: bacterial SSU rRNA
Rfam family: Bacterial small subunit ribosomal RNA
Source: RNAcentral